RNAcentral lists this ribosomal RNA (405 nucleotides) under uncultured bacterium. RNAcentral describes it as "partial 16S ribosomal RNA". It matches the Rfam family "Bacterial small subunit ribosomal RNA", at positions 28 to 526 of the family's 1533-position model. The record is from RNAcentral.
GACGAACGCUGGCGGCGUGCUUAACACAUGCAAGUCGAGCGGAGCGGCGAACGGGUGAGUAACGCGUGAGUAACUGCCCCCCUCUCUGGGAUAACAGUUGGAAACGGCUGCUAAUACCGGAUAGUGGGGGAUGACUCGCGUCCUAUCAGCUUGUUGGUGGGGUAGUGGCCUACCAAGGGGACGACGGGUAGCCGGCCUGAGAGGGCGACCGGCCUCAUUUGGCCGAGAUACGGCCCAAAGUCUAACGGUGGGAAGGAGUGGCGACUAGUGCCCAAUGGGGGAAACCCUGAAGCAGCAAGGCCGCGUGCGGGAUGACGGCCUUCGCGUUGUCAACCGCUUUCAGCCAUGUCGCGGUAUUGGCAGAAGAAGCACCGGCUAACUACGUGCCCGCAGCCGCGGUAAUAC